GACGAACGCUGGCGGCGUGCUUAACACAUGCAAGUCGAGCGGUAAGGCCCUUUCGGGGGUACGACGAGCGGCGAACGGGUGAGUAACACGUGGGUGACCUGCCCUCAGUUCUGGGAUAAGCCUGGGAAACCGGGUCUAAUACUGGAUAUGACCUCAUGACGCAUGUUGUGGGGUGAAAGCCUUGUGCGAACUGAGGAUGGGCCCGCGGCCUAUCAGCUUGUUGGUGGGGUG
Molecule: ribosomal RNA, 231 nt
Filed under: uncultured bacterium
Lineage: Bacteria
Description: partial 16S ribosomal RNA
Rfam family: Bacterial small subunit ribosomal RNA
Source: RNAcentral